Molecule: non-coding RNA, 54 nt
Organism: Salmo salar (Atlantic salmon)
Lineage: Eukaryota; Metazoa; Chordata; Actinopteri; Salmoniformes; Salmonidae
Source: Rfam
UGCAUGCAUGACUGUGAGUCGCUUUGGCUUAAAGUGUCUGCUAAAUGGCGUAUA